CAAGCUCUCUGGGGACUCCGACACAGUUGUCAUGGCAGGGUGAUUGGCCUUCCCAAAGAAGAAGCUGGCCCACCACUGGCCGGGGUCAGAUUUGGGCAGACCCGGGUGGUGGGGGAUGACCUCCCCAGCAUACUCAGAGCUACUGCAGGAGCUGUUGCUGGAUGUGGAGCUCAGACGCCUUCGGUGAUAGUUGUGCGUGGCCAUAAGCGAGCCGCUCGAUGGGAUGGAGGCCAUGGCUCCGGGUCCUGGGUUUGUGCUGAUGGAAAACCUGGCCGGCACUAG
RNAcentral lists this unclassified non-coding RNA (282 nucleotides) under Hevea brasiliensis (rubber tree). Lineage: Eukaryota; Viridiplantae; Streptophyta; Magnoliopsida; Malpighiales; Euphorbiaceae. The record is from RNAcentral.